Molecule: ribosomal RNA, 228 nt
Filed under: uncultured bacterium
Lineage: Bacteria
Description: partial 16S ribosomal RNA
Rfam family: Bacterial small subunit ribosomal RNA
Source: RNAcentral
UGGGUGACCUGCCCUCAGCUCUGGGAUAAGCCUGGGAAACUGGGUCUAAUACUGGAUAUUCACUUCUCAUCGCAUGGUGGGUGGUGGAAAGUUUUUUCGGCUGGGGAUGGGCCCGCGGCCUAUCAGCUUGUUGGUGGGGUGAUGGCCUACCAAGGCGACGACGGGUAGCCGGCCUGAGAGGGCGUCCGGCCACACUGGGACUGAGACACGGCCCAGACUCCUACGGGA